RNAcentral lists this ribosomal RNA (381 nucleotides) under uncultured bacterium. Its description in RNAcentral is "bacterial SSU rRNA". It matches the Rfam family "Bacterial small subunit ribosomal RNA", at positions 29 to 417 of the family's 1533-position model. The record is from RNAcentral.
AUUGAACGCUGGCGGCAUGCUUUACACAUGCAAGUCGAACGGGCUGGGGGGCAACUCCAGUCAGUGGCGAACAGGUGAGUAAUGCAUCGGAACGUGUCCCGUAGUGGGGGAUAACCCGGCGAAAGCCGGACUAAUACCGCAUAUGCUCUACGGAGGAAAGUGGGGGACCGCAAGGCCUCACGCUAUGGGAGCGGCCGAUGUCCGAUUAGCUUGUUGGUGGGGUAAUGGCCACCAAGGCGACGAUCGGUAGCUGGUCUGAGAGGAUGAUCAGCCACACUGGGACUGAGACACGGCCCAGACUCCUACGGGAGGCAGCAGUGGGGAAUUUUGGACAAUGGGGGCAACCCUGAUCCAGCCAUGCCGCGUGCGGGAAGAAGGCCU